Molecule: long non-coding RNA, 287 nt
Organism: Syngnathoides biaculeatus (alligator pipefish)
Lineage: Eukaryota; Metazoa; Chordata; Actinopteri; Syngnathiformes; Syngnathidae
Exons: 3
Source: RefSeq, a predicted model, not a curated record
GUCGGGAUUUGAGGUUGGCCACCUAAGAAGUCAACGUGGAAGCCUUUUUACUCCAAAGACAAUUUUCGUCUCGAGGCUGCCGGCGAGGAAAGUACUUGCCUCUCUCUUUAAAGCUCACUUUCACCAGCAGUGUGCCGCAGCUUGCUUCCAGUCCUGCAGCUGACAGCAGCUGUGACCCUGGAGGAGCACCACGCGCUCCGGCAGCAGCUCCGCCGUGGUGGCGAUGACUUCAUCGCACAAAGUCAUGCAAUCGACGGGGCGCUCGGCCAUGAGCAAGGCGGUGCCGG